GUUGGGGGCGGGGCAAAGACUGUGAUGUCACAGGGCAUGGGUCCUCUCUCCCCCAAUUUUUUUGGAGAAAAGUUCUUUACCUGUCUCAUCUCCCUGUAGCCUGUUGGACGCCGUCACGCCGUCAACCAAAAUCACACAGAUGGCUUCCAACGCUAUAAAAUAACAGCUAACCAAUCAACUAGCAUUUAUGAGGAAGAAGACCUGAGGCCUGGAGAGGUGAAGCAACUUUCCAUUGGCCAAACAACUAUUUGGUGACAAUUUAGAAAAUCAGAAUGACUGAUAUUUCAAAGAAAAGUUAACAGGGAAGACUCUUCAGGAGCAUUAGCCACUGACCCACCUGCGAGAAGGGAUUCCCUUGAUGGCAUCCUCGAACGCCUGAUGGAGGACU
This is a long non-coding RNA of Sarcophilus harrisii (Tasmanian devil), 388 nucleotides long. RefSeq lists it as uncharacterized. The record is from RefSeq and is a predicted model, not a curated record. The transcript is spliced from 3 exons. NCBI's taxonomy places the organism in Eukaryota, Metazoa, Chordata, Mammalia, Dasyuromorphia, Dasyuridae.